UACGGAGGGUGCGAGCGUUGUCCGGAUUUAUUGGGUUUAAAGGGUGCGUAGGUGGGUUAAUAAGUCAGUGGUGAAAUACAGCCGCUCAACGGUUGAGGUGCCAUUGAUACUGUUAACCUUGAAAGAAUUGGAGGCUGCCGGAAUGGAUGGUGUAGCGGUGAAAUGCAUAGAUAUCAUCCAGAACACCGAUUGCGAAGGCAGGUGGCUACGAUUUAUUUGACACUGAGGCACGAAAGCAUGGGGAGCAAACAGG
RNAcentral lists this ribosomal RNA (253 nucleotides) under uncultured bacterium. RNAcentral's name for it is "partial 16S ribosomal RNA". It matches the Rfam family "Bacterial small subunit ribosomal RNA", at positions 524 to 776 of the family's 1533-position model. The record is from RNAcentral.